UGUGUCUCUGUGUGUGUGGACUAGUUUAGCUGUUGUUGUAAGUAUACAUACACACACACACACACACACACACACACAACACAACAU
This 87-nucleotide microRNA precursor is filed under the name Loxodonta africana (African savanna elephant). Its description in RNAcentral is "miRNA (ENSLAFG00000026991.1)". Lineage: Eukaryota; Metazoa; Chordata; Mammalia; Proboscidea; Elephantidae. The record is from RNAcentral.